UAUGAUAGCUCUAGAACAAGGUUUAUCUCUUAUAUCAUCUUGUAACUUAUUUGACACAAUCACUGCAGAUUAAACAAAGAGUUCUUUGAUCACCUACAAACUGAACUUGGGCAACUUCGAUUUGCAAUCAAUAGAACCAAGGAAAUAGAAGACAGGACAAUUGAGUUGGAAGCCAUGCAGAAGGUCUUGCUAGAGGGCACAGAAGCAUAUGAUAAGAUGCAAAUGGAUUUUGUAUCAGCAAGGGAAAGGCUUUGCAUGUAAUUCCACCAUCAUUCUCAUCUAAAAUCAUACAGCAGAUGAAAUAAUUUCAC
Zingiber officinale is the source of this 311-nucleotide long non-coding RNA. RefSeq lists it as uncharacterized. Lineage: Eukaryota; Viridiplantae; Streptophyta; Magnoliopsida; Zingiberales; Zingiberaceae. The record is from RefSeq and is a predicted model, not a curated record. The transcript has 3 exons.